UUAAGAAACUUACGGCUCAGAGUAAUCAAC
This 30-nucleotide non-coding RNA is filed under the name Mus musculus (house mouse). Lineage: Eukaryota; Metazoa; Chordata; Mammalia; Rodentia; Muridae. The record is from RNAcentral.